GUGCUUGCCUCGGCAGCACAUAUACUAAAAUUGGAACGAUACAGAGAAAACUAGCAUGGCCCCUGCGCAAGAAUGAUACGCAAAUUCGUGAAGCGUUCCGUAUUUUA
Pan troglodytes (chimpanzee) is the source of this 107-nucleotide small nuclear RNA. NCBI's taxonomy places the organism in Eukaryota, Metazoa, Chordata, Mammalia, Primates, Hominidae. The record is from Ensembl.